GGGGAAUAUUGCACAAUGGGCGCAAGCCUGAUGCAGCGACGCCGCGUGAGGGAUGGAGGCCUUCGGGUUGUAAACCUCUUUUGUUUGGGAGCAAGCCUUCGGGUGAGUGUACCUUUCGAAUAAGCGCCGGCUAGCUACGUGCCAGCAGCCGCGGUAAUACGUAGGGCGCAAGCGUUAUCCGGAUUUAUUGGGCGUAAAGGGCUCGUAGGCGGCUCGUCGCGUCCGGUGUGAAAGUCCAUCGCUUAACGGUGGAUCUGCGCCGGGUACGGGCGGGCUGGAGUGCGGUAGGGGAGACUGGAAUUCCCGGUGUAACGGUGGAAUGUGUAGAUAUCGGGAAGAACACCGAUGGCGAAGGCAGGUCUCUGGGCCGUCACUGACGCUGAGGAGCGAAAGCGUGGGGAGCGAACAGGAUUAGAUACCCUGGUAGUCCACGCCGUAAACGGUGGACGCUGGAUGUGGGGCACGUUCCACGUGUUCCGUGUCGGAGCUAACGCGUUAAGCGUCCCGCCUGGGGAGUACGGCCGCAAGGCUAAAACUCAAAGAAAUUGACGGGGGCCCGCACAAGCGGCGGAGCAUGCGGAUUAAUUCGAUGCAACGCGAAGAACCUUACCUGGGCUUGACAUGUUCCCGACGACGCCAGAGAUGGCGUUUCCCUUCGGGGCGGGUUCACAGGUGGUGCAUGGUCGUCGUCAGCUCGUGUCGUGAGAUGUUGGGUUAAGUCCCGCAACGAGCGCAACCCUCGCCCCGUGUUGCCAGCACGUUAUGGUGGGAACUCACGGGGGACCGCCGGGGUUAACUCGGAGGAAGGUGGGGAUGACGUCAGAUCAUCAUGCCCCUUACGUCCAGGGCUCCACGCAUGCUACAAUGGCCGGUACAGCGGGAUGCGACAUGGCGACAUGGAGCGGAUCCCUGAAAACCGGUCUCAGUUCGGAUCGGAGCCUGCAACCCGGCUCCGUGAAGGCGGAGUCGCUAGUAAUCGCGGAUCAGCAACGCCGCGGUGAAUGCGUUCCCG
Molecule: ribosomal RNA, 1012 nt
Filed under: uncultured bacterium
Lineage: Bacteria
Description: bacterial SSU rRNA
Rfam family: Bacterial small subunit ribosomal RNA
Source: RNAcentral